Molecule: ribosomal RNA, 468 nt
Filed under: uncultured bacterium
Lineage: Bacteria
Description: partial 16S ribosomal RNA
Rfam family: Bacterial small subunit ribosomal RNA
Source: RNAcentral
GACGAACGCUGGCGGCGUGCUUAACACAUGCAAGUCGAACGGAAAGGCCCUGCUUUUGUGGGGUGCUCGAGUGGCGAACGGGUGAGUAACACGUGAGUAACCUGCCCUUGACUUUGGGAUAACUUCAGGAAACUGGGGCUAAUACCGGAUAGGAUCUCCUGCUGCAUGGUGGGGGUUGGAAAGUUUCGGCGGUUGGGGAUGGACUCGCGGCUUAUCAGCUUGUUGGUGGGGUAGUGGCUUACCAAGGCUUUGACGGGUAGCCGGCCUGAGAGGGUGACCGGAAAAAUUGGGACUGAGAUACGGACCAGACUCCUACGGGAGGCAGCAGUGGGGAAUAUUGCACAAUGGGCGGAAGCCUGAUGCAGCAACGCCGCGUGCGGGAUGACGGCCUUCGGGUUGUAAACCGCUUUCGCCUGUGACGAAGCGUGAGUGACGGUAAUGGGUAAAGAAGCACCGGCUAACUACGUG